AGCCAAACCCGUCACGAUCUUAACCCCAAUCUGAAAACUUUUGGGCUUAAUCUCAGGUGGUUUCCAUUCUCUCACAACCGUCUCGUUCUUUUCUUCCACGGAACUUUCAGAUGACAAGGAAAAGACAGGCUCGCCCAACUCAGUAUCCUCCACGGAGUCCUUCUCUUCGCCGCUCCCCGGUGAAAAAUUGUUCAUCCCUUUUGGAACCAAAGUUUGCUCCUUUUGAGGCCUGGGUUCAGGUUGGUGUGAGGAAACAGUCGGUAUGGCUCGCGUAUAAGGAGAAAGCCACUUAGCUUUGACAUACUCGGCUUUUCUCCACGGUGGAAUAUGCAUGCCCUUCUUCUUGAGGCUCUGCCUCGCUGCAUUUGAUACGACAGAUACGAUCUUCUGGAGGCGAUCGGCUUUCCCCACAAAGAUGUGGGGUAGAGAUUGGAGGAGAGAUUUGUAGGCCUUGGUUGAUCGAGCAAUUUCAAAUUCUGAUCUGAAAUCAAUGUCAAUUAGCAGUCUCUCGCCUGAGACGAUCACGUCUAUGUAUUCAUAUUCACCGGCGGGAUGGGUGGGGGAUUUUUCCCAACGAGAUUUGCAGAUUGAAGCGUCGUAUCCAAUAGCCAACAAUCCAUCAGUAACGAUCCUCCUGCAAAAAUCGUCUUUGCGCUUGCAGAUCUUGUUCUUGUCAACGAUCCUCGCAGUGUCUGCUAGCAAAUUUCUCUCAGUAACACUUGCACAGGGGACCAAACUCUUUAGAAUUUCAAUUCCUUCGCCAGAUGAAACAAAAUUAGAGUCGCCAAAAUCAACAAAGCCAUCGAAUUCGUCUUCCAAGCUGUCAUUACAAUUCCCGUUGAAGCAGUUGCAGCGAUUGCGGCCACACCUCACCGCGGCGGAUGAUUGCUUAUCGUUGCUCUCCUCUAUGAAGUUUUGUACCAUCUUCGCCAAGCACAAUGAGCUCGGCUCAAACUCAGUGGAGCCAUUAGCGCCAUCCUUGUGGAAAUGCGACUCAUCAACAACGCCGACUUUUUCAGCGGCGGAAUUUCUCAGGAAUUGAAGCUCAAAGAGUCGCUUGAGACGCGAUUUCACCACUGGCUUUACCGGCUCCAACCUAGUUAGCUCUUCAGAUGGGUAUGAAUCGAUUGGCUGGAUCUUCAUUUGAAAAGGCAUGAUCAGCUUGAUCAAGAUUCAACAACACGACAAACGCUUCAGCCUUCGCCCCACCAACAAUAUCAACAGGGUAUUAUCAAAUUUUCUCCUCCGAUAUUAUAUACUAUUUUGCCUCCGAUAUACAAGACAAAGCUUGGAAUAACUUCUAAACUCUGCUCAGUAACGUCGCUUUUGCUUAGGGUUUCUACAAACGGUUAAAGUUCCGAUAUACGCGACGGCACGAUAACGUCACGCUUUCAUUUCCGUAAUUUAAACCACAAUCUGUCACCGGGAGCUCCAUUUUUCUGGCUGCUUGCUUCAAUUUUCCGGCGACGUUGUGGCCGGUAACGGGUAAGAAAAGUGAAAACCAGUGAGAGAUGGCAAUUUGGCUUUUGGGUAUGAGAGGAGUGAGGAC
Molecule: unclassified non-coding RNA, 1549 nt
Filed under: Hevea brasiliensis (rubber tree)
Lineage: Eukaryota; Viridiplantae; Streptophyta; Magnoliopsida; Malpighiales; Euphorbiaceae
Source: RNAcentral